RNAcentral lists this transfer RNA (70 nucleotides) under Dipodomys ordii (Ord's kangaroo rat). It matches the Rfam family "tRNA". Rfam says of the family: Transfer RNA (tRNA) molecules are approximately 80 nucleotides in length. Their secondary structure includes four short double-helical elements and three loops (D, anti-codon, and T loops). Lineage: Eukaryota; Metazoa; Chordata; Mammalia; Rodentia; Heteromyidae. The record is from Rfam by way of RNAcentral.
GGGGAAGUGGCUCAGUGGUAGAGUGCUUGCCUUGCAUGCAUGAGGCCAUGGGUUCGAUUCCUCAGCACCA